This is a long non-coding RNA of Homo sapiens (human), 628 nucleotides long. Ensembl annotates it as myocardial infarction associated transcript. Its record names the gene MIAT. NCBI's taxonomy places the organism in Eukaryota, Metazoa, Chordata, Mammalia, Primates, Hominidae. The record is from Ensembl.
AGCGCCGCGGGUGGGGAUGCGGGAGGCUGAGCGCACCGGCCAGCUAGCCCCUUUGUGCGGCGGGGGCUGCGGAGUGCUCCCUCCAAGACCGGUUGCACCCCGCUUUCCUGGCCAGGACUCUGGGCGCGGUUGGAGGCAUCUGUCCACCCAUGUGGUUCCAGACACGUUCAUGUGGCCACCAUGACCCCGUCGGCAUCACAGGGGUAACCAAGGUCCACAGAACGAGGGGAAAGGGUCACUGUGGAUCAAGCCAGGCUCCUCUGAGCAGUCCAGGGUCUAUUUACAGAGAGCAGCAAGUUCCUGGGACAGAGGAGACAGAAGGGAAUUUCCAGGUUCUUCAGGACGUUCACAACCACACUGAGAAGCAUCUUUGCAGAUAAGUAUUUAAACUUACCAGCCCAUAGCCUACCAGCCUGCCCUCUUCUGGUCUGUGCAGGAAAGUGUAGUAUCCUAGAAUGCCAAAGUGGGAGGGGAAAUGGGUGAUGUAGCUCAUUCUCUUUUCUACCUCUAUGGAAGAAAGAAAGAGCCUGUCCCCAUUUUGUGGGGUCCCAGAAAGGGUGAUUUUCACACUUCACAUUUGGCGUUAGGGCUAGUAUUUCACAAACAUUACCGUCUGGAACUUUUGAAG